This 459-nucleotide ribosomal RNA is filed under the name uncultured bacterium. RNAcentral's name for it is "partial 16S ribosomal RNA". It matches the Rfam family "Bacterial small subunit ribosomal RNA", at positions 338 to 795 of the family's 1533-position model. The record is from RNAcentral.
CCUACGGGUGGCUGCCGUGAGGAAUAUUGGUCAAUGGCCGGAAGGCUGAACCAGCCAUGCCGCGUGAAGGUCAGUGCCCUAUGGGCGUUAAACUUCUUUUGUGCGGGAGCAAUAAUGGUCACGUGUGGCCAGACGAGAGUCCCGUACGAAUAAGCAUCGGCUAACUCCGUGCCAGCAGCCGCGGUCAUACUGGGAUGCAAGCGUUAUACGGAUGUAUUGGGGUUAAAGGGUGCGUAGGCUGUAAGGUAAGGCAGCGGUGAAAUGCCCCCGCUCAACGGGGUGAAGUGCCAUUGAUACUGCCUGGCUGGAAUGCGGAUGCCGUGGGAGGAAUGCGUGGUGUAGCGGUGAAAUGCAUAGAUAUCACACAGAACACCGAUUGCGAAGGCAUCUCACGAAUCCGCGAUUGACGCUGAUGCACGAAAGCGUGGGUAUCAAACAGGAUUAGAUACCCGGGUAGUC